AGCUGCGGGGCUUGGGGGGUCAGGAGAGCCGGCUGGGAGAGGCGGCGUCAGGGUGGGUCCUGCGCCUGCCCUUUCCGCGCCGGCUUUGCGCCGUCGUUGCCGUCGGUUCUCCAGCCAGCAGCCUGCCUCCGGCCUCCCGCCUCCGGGCGUUCUUCGUUUUCUGGUCGGACGGGCCUGGGUGAACUCUGCUGCACGUCGGCUCCGCGGGCCUUUGUCCCCGAGGCCGCGCCGGGAGCUCCCAAGCGCACUCCUGGGCCGGACCUCGGCGCGGGACAAAAGCCAAACGCCCCAGGCGGGCAGACCCCGAUCCUGCUGCGCCGCCUUCAAGGGGGACCGCCGGCCGCGAGCCAGGUUGGGAUUUGCUGUGUUCCUGGGCAGGUGCCUGGUCAAUCAGUCCUCGGGAUGGCAGCCAUCAACCCGUGGGCCUCCUGGGGUGAGUCCAAGUUGUGUUUCUCCUGGGCCUCCCCUAUCAUUAGCUGCUGCAGUCAUGGGUCAGAGCUGGUGAUGGGCUGAGGACUUUUGAGGAUGGAAGGGGGUCUGUCUAUCUUGGUACAAAAUUAGAACU
This 565-nucleotide long non-coding RNA is filed under the name Homo sapiens (human). RNAcentral's name for it is "non-protein coding lnc-C19orf18-2:2". The record is from RNAcentral. Lineage: Eukaryota; Metazoa; Chordata; Mammalia; Primates; Hominidae.